Molecule: long non-coding RNA, 831 nt
Filed under: Numida meleagris (helmeted guineafowl)
Lineage: Eukaryota; Metazoa; Chordata; Aves; Galliformes; Numididae
Description: lncRNA (ENSNMEG00000000965.1)
Source: RNAcentral
CCCCCCCAGGUGCUGGUGCUGCGGCGCGGCUGGGACACGGCGCUCCAGGCCCUGAACGUCACCAUGAGAACCGGCACCGACACGGCACCGUGACAACACCGGCACCGCCAACAACACCGACACCAACACCGGCACCGGGACCAACAACACUGACACCAACAACACCGACACCAACAGCACCAACACCGGCAGCAACACCACCAAGACUGGCACCAACAACACCAACACCAACAACACCAACACUGACACCAAGACUGGAAGCAACACCAACACCAACAACACCGACGCCAACACUGACACCAACACUGACACCAACACUGACACCAACACCAACAACACCAACAACGGAACCAACAACACCAACACUGACACCAACACCGGAACCAACACCAACAACACCGACACUGACACCAAGACUGGAACCAACACCGACACCACCAACACUGACACCAACACCGACACCAACACCGGAACCAACACCAACAACACCGACACCAACAGCACCAACACUGACACCAAGACCAGAACCAACACCGACACCAACAGCACCAACACUGACACCGGCACCGACACCAACAACACCAACACCAACAACGGAACCAACACCAACAACACCAACACCGACACCAACAGCACUGACACCAACAACACCAACACUGACACCAACACCGGAACCAACACCACCAACACCGACACCAACAACACCGACACCACCAACACCGACACCACCAACACCGACACCAACAACACCGACACCACCAACACCAACACUGACACCAACACCGGAACCAACAACACCAACACCAACAACACCGACACCAACAACACCGA